Molecule: ribosomal RNA, 77 nt
Filed under: Ramalina peruviana
Lineage: Eukaryota; Fungi; Ascomycota; Lecanoromycetes; Lecanorales; Ramalinaceae
Description: partial 18S ribosomal RNA
Rfam family: Eukaryotic small subunit ribosomal RNA
Source: RNAcentral
ACUAUACUUGGUCAUUUAGAGGAAGUAAAAGUCGUAACCAAGGUUUCCCGUAGGUGAACCUGCGGAAGGAUCCAUUA